AAGACUAUACUUCACAGGAUCAUUUCUGUAGUAUUUCUUAUACUUUCGACUUUGGUUAACACUAGAGCGAACGGCAACCACGAUGACGAGCUGUGGUGCUUUAUCUGAAAGCGUGAGGGAGAUUCGUGUGGUUUUUUGUUGCAUUUCAUGUAUCGAAACUCACAAUCGUCGAUGAUCGCUAACCCGUUGGUUACUCAGCGGGACACGGAUAAGGUGCUUUCUGAGUGGC
Small nucleolar RNA from Contarinia nasturtii (swede midge), 229 nucleotides. RefSeq annotates it as small nucleolar RNA U3. Lineage: Eukaryota; Metazoa; Arthropoda; Insecta; Diptera; Cecidomyiidae. The transcript has a single exon. The record is from RefSeq and is a predicted model, not a curated record.